GAUGAACGCUGGCGGCGUGCUUAACACAUGCAAGUCGAACGAUGAAGCCCAGCUUGCUGGGUGGAUUAGUGGCGAACGGGUGAGUAACACGUGAGUAACCUGCCCUUAACUCUGGGAUAAGCCUGGGAAACUGGGUCUAAUACCGGAUAGGAGCGUCCACCGCAUGGUGGGUGUUGGAAAGAUUUAUCGGUUUUGGAUGGACUCGCGGCCUAUCAGCUUGUUGGUGAGGUAAUGGCUCACCAAGGCGACGACGGGUAGCCGGCCUGAGAGGGUGACCGGCCACGCUGGGACUGAGACACGGCCCAGACUCCUACGGGAGGCAGCAGUGGGGAAUAUUGCACAAUGGGCGCAAGCCUGAUGCAGCGACGCCGCGUGAGGGAUGACGGCCUUCGGGUUGUAAACCUCUUUCAGUAGGGAAGAAGCGAAAGUGACGGUACCUGCAGAAGAAGCACCGGCUAACUACGUG
Molecule: ribosomal RNA, 466 nt
Filed under: uncultured bacterium
Lineage: Bacteria
Description: partial 16S ribosomal RNA
Rfam family: Bacterial small subunit ribosomal RNA
Source: RNAcentral